Molecule: long non-coding RNA, 1620 nt
Organism: Dendroctonus ponderosae (mountain pine beetle)
Lineage: Eukaryota; Metazoa; Arthropoda; Insecta; Coleoptera; Curculionidae
Exons: 2
Source: RefSeq, a predicted model, not a curated record
UAAUUAGUGCGUCCUGGUAGAGCGCCAUCGAAACGUUUCAUAUUAAAAUUCGUCGUCACUUUAUUAACAACCGCUUAAAUUAAAAUGCACGUUUACCGACGAAUUAAAUUUCCGCUCGUUUUUUGCUACUUCGACAAUAUUCUAUUUUCGUAUUAGCGUUUAUUAAAAUUUUAUGCGAAAGUACGAAUUCAAUUCAAUUUAAUUCGGGUCAUUAAAAAGCGGAAGUACCCAAAUAAUUCGUUGCGUAUCGAUCGAGACCUUCGCAAGAAUGUUAGGAAUCUAAUUUGGACCAAUAGGAAGCGGGAAUACCCGAAGAAUACGCAGCGACGCGAUAUGUACGUUGCAACAAUGUAAUAUGAUGUUGAACAAUGAUUAAUGAAUAUCGUUUAGACCAUUAGGAAGCGGGAGUUCCCGAAAAAUUCAAUAAGCAUCGAUAGGGACCUUCGCAAGAAUGUAAGAAAUCUCAUUCGGGCCAAUAGGAAGCGGGAAUACCUGAAGAAUGCGCAGCGAAGCGAUAUGUACCAACGGAAGAAUGUAAAGAAUAUCGCUUAGACCAUAGGUUUCCAAAGUGGUCCAGGUGGACCCCCAGGGGUCGAGACCACACGGGGGCCCACGUGGACGUGAAAAGAAAACAGGGGCUCAUAAGUUGUAAGGGGCGGUCGACAAAAAAUUUGCUGGUUUUCAUAAUGAACAAAAGUUUUGGCUCGGAUUUAGCUAUUAACAUAGGAAGGUAGCAUCAUUCACUAGGUAGGUACUCAAAAAUAUGCGAAGAUACUCAAAAAAAUUACUCUGUUCAAACACAUAAUUAAAUAGAACAAUAGAUAAUAGUACGUAAAAAAAGUAAAGAUACAUAGAUAUAAGUGUACACCACAUGUCGAGACUUGCAAAGUGCCGCCCUUGCGCCCUCUCGUCCGGGAUGCUUGUUUAGACCUGCAAAGGGAUGAAAUGCGACUUGCGCUGUGCUUGCAAUCUACAUUAGUACAACUACGAAUGCCAAAAACAAAACGUUACUCAUUUGGUUUUGGGAUUUUGAACAUGAAAGUGUGACUGUGAGUGAAUCGAUGCCAGUGUUUACAGUGCCGGAAAAAGUCACAACUGAUACGAAAUAUGGCUGCAUUUAAGAAUAAAUGUCGACAGUACAGUGUUGAUUAUUUGAAAUUUGAUUUGCUUCCAUCAACGUAUUACAAGAGGAGCUACUUGAGCUCAGCACCAACGAGGAACUGAUGGUGAAAUUUAAGAAAGGCUAUCAAACAUUUUGGCUGCAGGUAGAAAUCCCCGAAAAAUAUUCUGGGCUAUGGGAAAUUGUGAGAAAAUGGUUGAUAGCCUUUCCCUCGUCCUAUCUUGUCGAAAGAAGUUUUAGUGCCGUUACCAACCUGUUAACAAAAAAGGAGCAGGUUGAACAUUACAGAACGGGGAGAUUUGAGAUUACUUACAAAACUGCAGUCAAAUAUUGAUAAUUUGCUGUGAAUUCAUCAAGUACAUCCGUCUCAUUAAAAGUAUGAGUAUGAGAAAGUAUUGUUGAUUUACAUUUCAGAGUUCAUUGUCGACUGUUUGUAAUAAUAAAUAUUUAUAAUCUUGUAUAACCACAAGUAUUAUUUUAAUAAAAAGGACACCGGAAAA